Molecule: ribosomal RNA, 116 nt
Filed under: Pteropus alecto (black flying fox)
Lineage: Eukaryota; Metazoa; Chordata; Mammalia; Chiroptera; Pteropodidae
Source: RNAcentral
GUCUAUGGCCAUGUCACCCUGAACAAGCCCAAUGUCUGAUCUCAGAAGCUAAGCAGGGUCGGGCCUGGUUAGUACUUGGAUGGGAGACCACCCAGGAAGACCAGGUGCUGUAGGCA